Non-coding RNA from Paramuricea clavata, 236 nucleotides. The record is from the annotation of a GenBank genome assembly. NCBI's taxonomy places the organism in Eukaryota, Metazoa, Cnidaria, Anthozoa, Malacalcyonacea, Plexauridae.
GAAAAUCAUUCUUUCUAAAUCUCAGUAAAGAUGAGUUUAUAUUUCAUGUCGAGUCUCGUUACAGAAUAAGGGAAAACACGGAAAUAAAACGUUGCUAUUCCGAAACAGCUUUUUAUCAGCCGAUGGUCUUUUAAAAAUGCAUAUCAAACACGCAAUUAUCACGCAUGAGCACGCCACGUGGCCUGUCAUUGUGCCUGUGGUAUUACUGGAUAUUAGACAAUUUUUUUUUUUUUUUU